GACGAACGCUGGCGGCGUGCUUAACACAUGCAAGUCGAACGGAAAGGCUCUGCUUCCGUGUGGUGCUCGAGAGGGGAACGGGUGAGUAACACGAAAGUAAGCUGCCCUUGAGUUCGGGAUACCUAAAGGAAAGGGGGGCUAAUACGGGACAGGUGCUCAUGCUGCAUGACGGUGGUUGGAAAGUUUCGGCGGUGUGGGAGGGAGCGGCGGUUCAUCACUUUGUUGGGCGGGCGGGGGCUUACCAAGGUGUUGGCGGGAAGCCGGCCUAAGGAGGUGACCGGCGACAUUGGGACUGCGAUAGGGCCCAGAAUCCUACGGGAGGCAGCAGGCGAAAAUAUUGCGCAAUGGGCGGAAGUCUGAUGCGACAACCCCGCGUGCGGGAUGACGGGCUUCGGGUUGUGAACCGCUUUCGCCUGAAACGUAGAGUGAGUGACGGUAAUGAGUCAGGAAGCCCCGGCUAACUACGUG
RNAcentral lists this ribosomal RNA (468 nucleotides) under uncultured bacterium. RNAcentral's name for it is "partial 16S ribosomal RNA". It matches the Rfam family "Bacterial small subunit ribosomal RNA", at positions 28 to 507 of the family's 1533-position model. The record is from RNAcentral.